Molecule: microRNA precursor, 100 nt
Filed under: Rhodnius prolixus
Lineage: Eukaryota; Metazoa; Arthropoda; Insecta; Hemiptera; Reduviidae
Description: microRNA miR-124 precursor
Rfam family: mir-124 microRNA precursor family (bases 18-84)
About the family: The mature ~21nt miRNAs are processed from hairpin precursor sequences represented here, in this case originating from the 3' arm. The bounds of the precursors are predicted based on conservation and base pairing and are not generally known.
Source: RNAcentral
AGAACGGAAACAAGUCCUGCUCCUCGUGUUCACUGUUGGCCUUCAUGUCUUUGUUCAUAAGGCACGCGGUGAAUGCCAAGAGAGGAUUUGAUAUCGUCGU